Molecule: long non-coding RNA, 2928 nt
Organism: Brassica napus (rape)
Lineage: Eukaryota; Viridiplantae; Streptophyta; Magnoliopsida; Brassicales; Brassicaceae
Exons: 4
Source: RefSeq, a predicted model, not a curated record
GAAGCAUGAGGACAUAUGGUGGUGGCAACUGCUUGUUGGCUCCGUUUUUCUCUUUGGCUCUGGUUAACAAAAAGCAUGAUCAUGAUUAGACCAAUAUAAACCAAAAGAAAUGACCAACUGUUGCAUAAUUAAUAUGCAAGCUAUCGAACUUGUUCUUGCUUAGUGCUCUCAAAUGCAUAUGAUGAUAUAAUAAUUGUCCACCAAGAGCAAACCAAUCACAAGAAUCAUCUCAUAAAAGUUAUAUGAGUGAGCAGCUUAGAGUGUUUAAUAGUUUUAACCAAAUUCACAAUCUUUACCUUAACACUAAUUUAAAAGUGAUUAAAGUAUGUGGUGAUUUAGUAAAAUAACUUAUCUUUAGUGUGGAGAAGAAACAAACGUCCGAGGUUGUCAGAGGUUGUCGAACUUUGUUCGUAUCUUGGUGAAGAAGAUUCAAGACCUUGGUGCCGUCAUAUCUUCAUUUCGAGUUGUGGCUUCUCGGGAAGUGGUAGCCGAGAAGGAAAUAAUGAAUCAAACUCUCCUCAUCCCUGUGACUGCAAGAUUUUGGAGUUGGAAGAUAAUGCACCAGAGCUCGGGAUGGAGCCUGAGAACAUCGUCACUGAUAGAGCCUAAGACGUUGCGCCUCCUUUUCACUUUGAUGAGAAGCUUUUGUGACGUAGAGGCAAGAGCUUGAUGAGAUCGUGCAGAGAUCAUGGUGCGAUUGGUUCCAUUCCAUCUGAGCUAGGAAACAUGUUACGCCUCAGCUACUUGCAACUAAACCGAGAAAAGUCUUGAUCUUCCCGUUACACCACUUAUUGCCGAGAAGGACGUUCGUCGGGCUUCGAUCAUCAUUGGGCUUGUUGGUUCAACGAUCGUGUCUGAUGCCUCUGGAUGGAUGGCUAGUUCUCGACCUCGGUGAGAUCGGAGAUCUCGAGUCAAACUGAUGCUUUGUCUGAACGGAAAGCUCAAGCUCGAUGCUCUCCACCAACGAGCUCUUCUUGGACAUGAAGCUCGUGCCUUUGAAGAUCUUUGGUCCGUUGAUGAGCUUUCACUGUCAAUGCGAUGAACUGACCCACUCGCUGGAUGUCAGGCGGAGGCUAGAAUGGAGACCUUCACGACGUCAAUGCUGCUCUUGUUCUUGUCUCUGCGGUUAGUCAUGGUGAUGAAUCAAGGUCUUGAGGUCAGCUUGCCGUAAUUGGCAAGAGCUUCUCAAACUUCUCAUGAGACAUCAUCAUGGCCCUUGGCAUUAAAAAGCUUCUUGAGGCCCAAAGGCUCUCGCCAUCUGGUCUCACAUGAUAAAGGAGGAAGCUUUCUUAUGUAGCCUUGCUUGAUGUCACCGAAGACCCACCGACGAGCCUGGAACCGAGCCGAAUCUCUGAAACCACGAGCUGGAGGCACAGAGGGAGGAACCGAGCCGAAUCUCCGCGUUGUAUCUCGCCAUCUGGUCUCACAUGAUAAAGGAGGAAGCUUUCUCAUGGAGCCUUGCUUGAUGUCACCGAAGACCCACCGACGAGCCUGGAACCGAGCAGAAUCUCUGAAACCACGAACUGGAGGCACAGAGGGAGGAACCGAGCCGAAUCUCCACGUUGUACGACCAUCUCAUUGUCGGUUGCAGUUGAGUGGAGCUCGACGGCUCUGAGGAAGCAACGACGGCCUCGUCCAUUUACAAACUCGCCGGAGAUUAGAAGUUGUCUGAAUCUUGUCGGCUCAGGAAUUGACCCACGACAGCCUCUGUUGCCUUUGUCGGAGCUCUAUCUGGACGGUACGGCUACUGCAGGAGAAGCAGGCCGAUCUCUCCUCCCGUCACAUGCUGGUUUGUCGUCGGGACCAUCGAACGGAACUCAACGGAUCUCCGUUUUGACCGGCGACUCCGAAAUCCGAUAAUAAAUUUUUUUUUUUUUUAAAUCGUUCCCAAGUUUGAUAUGCUAUCAAGAUUGUUCUCUUUGGCCCCCUCCUUCUAGCGCCAACUGUUUGAACCGAAAAUGGUGUGUUUGUCGGAUUCAUACAAUGAAGAAUUUAAGAAGUAGAUUUCUUAGAUUCUUGAGGCUAAAGAGAAAUCAACAUAGAAAUCAAAUGGAAAAAGAACAUCAAAAAGAAUUUAUUGAUUAAAGAUUAUAUUACAUGUAUGAUUACAAGUGUCUAUAAAUCUAAGAAUCAAUAAGCUCUUUGUAUGAAGUGUUUAAUAUCCCAAAUGGGAGAAGAGAGACCCUUAAUCAAGAGAAAGAUCUCUUUAUUUAUACAAUGAUAUGUGUAGGGUUUUCUAUCCAAAUGAGCCUAGUACAUUGUCUAAUGGGCCUCGAGGGGAUGUAAAUACACCCCAACAAGCAGGUAACCUUGGCUCGUCAGGAUAUCAACUCACUUGAGAUUUGAAUUGAGAGCAUUGCAAAAUUCGAUUACUGGACUGGUGACUUUAAUCGGACAGGAGCAGCUUCAACUUCCCUGUAAAUCAGAAAGCUCGUAACUUGCUUGCAGAUGUUGAAACCAAGGUGGUUGAAAAACUUUGCUGACUGCCUGCUUGAAGGCAAUCUCACAGAGGGAGCGAGCAACCACGGUGAAAAUAAUCGGUAUAGCUAAGGCCCAUGACAAGUCGAGGCCAUUGUUAUCAAGGGUUGCUUUUAGCUAGCUGUUGUUGAUUUGGGAGUUUCCUGAUGGCAGUUGCCUUGCGGAUGGAUGUAUCAUGUAUAUAUAUAAACUGGUCUCUCUUAUAAUUUAUUAGCUGGCUUGGUUUGUUUGUUCUUCCCCACGUGGGUCUUGUGAUGUUUUGUUUUUACUUAGGAGGGUCUUCCGUGAGGAGUUUAUUUAUUGACAUGGACAUUUGCUUUGUUCGGAUUUAGACUAUGAACCAAUUAAAACACAAAGUUGAUGCGUGGGGAGAAUUAUGUUAUAUACACAUGGGAUGUAAAAGUGGGCAAUACAAGCCAAGUGAAGAGAAAUAAUAUGGUUUGAGAAACA